UACGUAGGGGGCUAGCGUUGUCCGGAUUUAUUGGGCGUAAAGAGCGUGUAGGCGGCCAAGUAAGUCCGGUGUGGAAACUCGAGGCUUAACCUCGAGAUGUCAUCGGAAACUAUUUGGCUAGAGUCCGGAAGAGGAGAGUGGAAUUCCUGGUGUAGCGGUGAAAUGCGCAGAUAUCAGGAGGAACACCGGUGGCGAAGGCGGAUCUCUGGGCCUUGCCUGACGCUGAGGCGCGAAAGCUAGGGGAGCGAACAGG
Molecule: ribosomal RNA, 253 nt
Filed under: uncultured bacterium
Lineage: Bacteria
Description: partial 16S ribosomal RNA
Rfam family: Bacterial small subunit ribosomal RNA
Source: RNAcentral